This 561-nucleotide ribosomal RNA is filed under the name uncultured bacterium. RNAcentral's name for it is "bacterial SSU rRNA". It matches the Rfam family "Bacterial small subunit ribosomal RNA", at positions 338 to 916 of the family's 1533-position model. The record is from RNAcentral.
CCUACGGGAGGCAGCAGUGGGGAAUAUUGGACAAUGGGGGAAACCCUGAUCCAGCAAUGCCGCGUGAGUGAUGAAGGCCUUAGGGUCGUAAAGCUCUUUUACCAGGGAUGAUAAUGACAGUACCUGGAGAAUAAGCUCCGGCUAACUCCGUGCCAGCAGCCGCGGUAAUACGGAGGGAGCUAGCGUUGUUCGGAAUUACUGGGCGUAAAGCGUGCGUAGGCGGUUAUUCAAGUCAGAGGUGAAAGCCCGGGGCUCAACCCCGGAACGGCCUUUGAAACUAGAUAACUAGAAUCUUGGAGAGGUCAGUGGAAUUCCGAGUGUAGAGGUGAAAUUCGUAGAUAUUCGGAAGAACACCAGUGGCGAAGGCGACUGACUGGACAAGUAUUGACGCUGAGGUACGAAAGCGUGGGGAGCAAACAGGAUUAGAUACCCUGGUAGUCCACGCCGUAAACGAUGAUAACUAGCUGUCCGGACACUUGGUGUUUGGGUGGCGCAGCUAACGCAUUAAGUUAUCCGCCUGGGGAGUACGGUCGCAAGAUUAAAACUCAAAGGAAUUGACGG